Molecule: long non-coding RNA, 422 nt
Filed under: Zostera marina
Lineage: Eukaryota; Viridiplantae; Streptophyta; Magnoliopsida; Alismatales; Zosteraceae
Description: long non-coding RNA (ZMAR_LNC000430)
Source: RNAcentral
CGACCUCGAUCACCACAUAUCUACAAAUCAUAAUCUACAAAUUCCGGAAAACAUACAGAUUUCAAUUGAAGUUGAAUUUCAUCAGGGUAUGCUGCAGUUUAUAUACAAGACCACAAGACAACAGAAAGAAGAGCUCAUGUUCAUACCCUGCAGAGAAAAAUGCACAUUAAAACAUAAAUAAUCUCAAAUCAAUCUGCAAAUUCAGGGUAUGAAAAGAGUUCAGACUAACCCAAAUUAAUAUGCAUCAGGGCCAUACAAAAACCAAUGACUUGACAGAGACUGACUGACAUAACAGAGUUAACAUUAGGCAAAGUACACAAUCUCAGUAAUUUGAUCUACCAUUUUUUGUCAUUCUUGUUCUUUUAGUUUAUCUUCAAGAUUCAACUGAAAGUAAGAAUGUAAGACUUUUAUUUUCUAUCCAC